Molecule: RNA transcript, 1478 nt
Organism: Sitodiplosis mosellana (orange wheat blossom midge)
Lineage: Eukaryota; Metazoa; Arthropoda; Insecta; Diptera; Cecidomyiidae
Exons: 5
Source: RefSeq, a predicted model, not a curated record
AAGAUUUGAUGUCUGUGUGUCUUCCGAUAGGGUUCGUCUAUAUUUUGACAGAUACAUUUCUCGAAUUUAGUGUUGAAGCAGCGAUACGAGAAGAUAAAAGCUAAAAACAAGAAAAUAUAAAGAAAUUUGUGCGAGCAAAAUGGAACAACCAAAUGAAAAAUCUGAUGGGAAGAAAAAUGAAAGCGACCAAGGGACUUCAUCAGGGCAGGACGGAUGGAGCUUUACUGCACAGUAUCGUGAAACAGUGUUCAUUGAGAUUCAACGUAAAGAAAUCACCGCCGAAAGUAUGUCCAAGCGGUUGAAUGAAGAAGGAUAUGAGUGUGAGGUGACAAUUAAAUAUGACCCAAAAUCAGGAAAGAAUAGCGGUGCAUUGGAAUUCGUAGAUGAACAGACAGCGAAGGCGUUUUGCGAGAAACGCGAUUUUGUUCAAGACGGUGUUGUCAAACCGCGCUGUGCUUCGUCAUCGUCAGAUUCAUCAGUUGAAACUGGAUCUACAUCUGUACCGUCCACCGAAUCCAGUGACAGGUAUAUCAUUGUACAAACACCCAAAAAUUCAUCUCUUUUGAAAUCGUGUUUGAACAAUAACGCGUUUAAACAACGUCAUCCAAUACACUCUUUCGUAUCAUCGAACAAAAAGGGUGGAAUCACUGUUAAACGUAUGUUCCAAAUCGAUUGAGUCUCUAGUCUCCUUUUUACAAAGAUCUUCAUCCCUCAGCUAAAUGACAUGUGGGAACAUGGACGAAUGACGUUGUUGACGAUCUUGUUAAACUCGGCUAUUACACCAAGAUUAACAGAAGCAAAAAAGAGAUAUCUCUUCGUUAAAUAUUAUUCAUUUGAACAAAUAAAGUUAAUCAGUUUCAAUUUACCAAAAUUCAAAUUAAAAAGAUAUUUAUUCGAUGCAAAGUGUUUCCAUUCAAGGGAGUAUGUUUCGAAAAUGUUGACAAUCUCAUGUUUACAUGUUUACAUCAGAACGGUGAAUGUUUUCUCCUAUUUGCGCGUAAAUAAAUUCUGUCAUUUCCAACCAAAAAAAAACAUUAUGCAUGCUCGAACAAAACCCAGUUAAAGUGUUGCGCUAUUGAAGGAAAUGUGUAAUUAUUUCAAGUUUUUUUUUCGUUUCUAAUUCUCUCUUCACAUUUUGUGAUUAAUUGGAGAGCAUGUAAUGUGGUAGUUAACUUGCUGCCAAAAGUCAAAACAUAAUUGAAGUGUUAUUAAUUAAUUUGAUCUCAUAGUUUCGUCAAUUUAUGUUAUGCGUUACAUUUCAACCGUGAGAUUCAUUUAUUUUUUUUCUUCUUUCGUUUAUUAAUUUCAACGCCUUAUUUAUGUACUACUACCUACUAUAUUUCGUCCCCAAUCUAUCUCGUUUGUAUUUAGUUAUAAUUUUCUCUUGCAAAUUUUAUUGUACAAAUUUAAAACGAAAGAAGCAUCGAUGAAACAGAUUAUAGUGAUUAAAUUAUUAUGAAACCAAACAAUCAAAACAA